Molecule: ribosomal RNA, 793 nt
Filed under: uncultured bacterium
Lineage: Bacteria
Description: bacterial SSU rRNA
Rfam family: Bacterial small subunit ribosomal RNA
Source: RNAcentral
AGAGAGCUCGUAGGCGGUUUGUCGCGUCGUCUGUGAAAUUCUGCAACUCAAUUGCAGGCGUGCAGGCGAUACGGGCAGACUUGAGUACUACAGGGGAGACUGGAAUUCCUGGUGUAGCGGUGAAAUGCGCAGAUAUCAGGAGGAACACCGGUGGCGAAGGCGGGUCUCUGGGUAGUAACUGACGCUGAGGAGCGAAAGCGUGGGUAGCGAACAGGAUUAGAUACCCUGGUAGUCCACGCCGUAAACGGUGGGUACUAGGUGUGGGUUCCUUUUCACGGGAUCCGUGCCGUAGCUAACGCAUUAAGUACCCCGCCUGGGGAGUACGGCCGCAAGGCUAAAACUCAAAGGAAUUGACGGGGCCCGCACAAGCGGCGGAGCAUGUGGAUUAAUUCGAUGCAACGCGAAGAACCUUACCUGGGUUUGACAUACACCAGACGCGGCUAGAGAUAGUCGUUCUCUUGUGGUUGGUGUACAGGUGGUGCAUGGCUGUCGUCAGCUCGUGUCGUGAGAUGUUGGGUUAAGUCCCGCAACGAGCGCAACCCUUGUCCUGUAUUGCCAGCGGGUUAUGCCGGGGACUUGCAGGAGACUGCCGGGGUCAACUCGGAGGAAGGUGGGGAUGACGUCAAGUCAUCAUGCCCCUUAUGUCCAGGGCUUCACACAUGCUACAAUGGCUGGUACAGAGGGCUGCGAUACCGUGAGGUGGAGCGAAUCCCUUAAAGCCAGUCUCAGUUCGGAUUGGGGUCUGCAACUCGACCCCGUGAAGUCGGAGUCGCUAGUAAUCGCAGAUCAGCAA